Molecule: ribosomal RNA, 253 nt
Filed under: uncultured bacterium
Lineage: Bacteria
Description: partial 16S ribosomal RNA
Rfam family: Bacterial small subunit ribosomal RNA
Source: RNAcentral
UACGUAGGGGGCCAGCGUUGUUCGGAAUUACUGGGCGUAAAGGGUUCGUAGGCGGUGCGGCAAGUUGGGAGUGAAAUCUCUGGGCUUAACCCAGAGGCUGCUUUCAAAACUGCUGUGCUUGAGUGUGAGAGAGGCUCGUGGAAUUGCAGGUGUAGCGGUGAAAUGCGUAGAUAUCUGCAGGAACACCCGUGGCGAAAGCGGCGAGCUGGAUCACUACUGACGCUGAGGAACGAAAGCUAGGGGAGCAAACAGG